GAUGAACGCUAGCGGCAGGCUUAAUACAUGCAAGUCGAGGGGCAGCGCAGUGUAGCAAUACAUGGGCGGCGACCGGCAAACGGGUGCGGAACACGUACGCGACCUUCCUUUAAGUGGGGGAUAGCCCAGGGAAACUUGGAUUAAUACCCCGUAAUAUUAUGAAGUGGCAUCACUUUAUAUUUAUAGCUCCGGCGCUUAAAGAUGGGCGUGCGACUGGUUAGGUAGUUGGCGGGGUAACGGCCCACCAAGCCUGCGAUCAGUAACUGGUGUGAGAGCACGACCAGUCACACGGGCACUGAGACACGGGCCCGACUCCUACGGGAGGCAGCAGUAAGGAAUAUUGGUCAAUGGACGCAAGUCUGAACCAGCCAUGCCGCGUGGAGGAUGAAGGUCCUCUGGAUUGUAAACUUCUUUUAUUUGGGAAGAAACCCACUGUUUCUACGGUGGUUGACGGUACCAGAUGAAUAAGCACCGGCUAACUCCGUGCCAGCCGCCGCAGUAA
This 502-nucleotide ribosomal RNA is filed under the name uncultured bacterium. RNAcentral describes it as "partial 16S ribosomal RNA". It matches the Rfam family "Bacterial small subunit ribosomal RNA", at positions 28 to 523 of the family's 1533-position model. The record is from RNAcentral.